AUGUGGCUGAAGAAGAGUUUGGAGGUCAAUUUGGUCGGUGGUCGCAACCUCUUGAGCUUGCCAAGGCCCCUGCUCCCAAUGACCAGGCAGCUGAUGGGCAUGUCAUGGAUGGCUUGGCACAGCUUCUCGCGGGGAUCUCCAAACAGGACUUUGGAAACCACAGCAACCUGCCGAAAAAUGAAAACUCGGAAUCUUGUUAAGCAAAUGUGUCAAGGAGAUCACGAUGGUGAUACAUUAUGGUGUGGAGUGGUCACCUCCUUCUGCUUAGCUAUGGUGUUGAGCAUGUCAAGUGUUUCAGCAUCAGGCUUCACCCCAUAUUUCUUUGCAGUUGAAGGGUGA
This 339-nucleotide ribosomal RNA is filed under the name Triticum aestivum (bread wheat). Its description in RNAcentral is "partial small subunit ribosomal RNA". Lineage: Eukaryota; Viridiplantae; Streptophyta; Magnoliopsida; Poales; Poaceae. The record is from RNAcentral.